CCUUUAAUUCUGAAAGAAGGAUGAUUUUGCAGCUCUGUCUGGGAAAAAAUGAGGACAACAAAGGGAAUUUAGUGCAGAAGGGCCUAGAAAAGAUCCAUUCCACAUGCUGCAGGCCACAAAACACUCUCCAUCUUCUUUAUCUAACUUAAUGUCUAGAGGAGAGAAUAAUCUCACAAUGCACUGAGCUGCAGGAGGUCUCCCACCCUCCUAACUCAGAUGUCUGGGAGGGAGAGGAUGUUCUGCUCCUGGUGGAAGUCAGUGCUGUUUGACUUCACCCCAGCAUGGAGGAUGCCACUCCUUCUCCAGGAUGCUGCCGUGAUGGAGGACAGCUGUUUUACUUCCAAGACCUUCUGCCAUCCACCUGAGCCACACUGCUCCUUGAGAAAGGAAGAAAAAUAAUCACUGUCAGGGUAAGAUGAAAUCAAAUUAAUCUGAGACAAAUGGGAGAAGUCAAUGAAGGAAUAGUCUUAUACCUGAUGGAAAUGGACAUAACCCUGAAAAUGCCUUUAAUUCUGAAAGAAGGAUGCAACUGGAAGGGAAAAAACCACUGGAGAUUAAAGCAGGAUGACUCCAGACCAGACAGAAUCAGAUGAACCAGGGAAUAAAUGGGAGCUUCUCCACUCACAAUUUCUCUGCUCUAUUCAAAGGAAAAAGGUGCUACAUGAUUAGAGACCAUGACCUUCUCCAACAUCCUCUCUGAGGUGCCAUGCCCGACGUCAUUCCCAAUGCCUUCCCAUGCCCAUAAUUAGGAGAAACAAAAAGCUCUCUUGUCUGUUUGUUCUGAGGAAUAAGCUCAGCUGGCAUAAAAUGAAACCAUUUGUCUAAUGGUCUUGCAUUUGGAAAAAAUCCCUUCAAAGAGAUUGUACUGGAACUGGCUAUUCCUCCAAAUACAUGAAAUGAUUUAAUUAAAGGUGACAAGUUAAACAGA
Long non-coding RNA from Passer domesticus (house sparrow), 928 nucleotides. RefSeq lists it as uncharacterized. The transcript has 3 exons. The record is from RefSeq and is a predicted model, not a curated record. Lineage: Eukaryota; Metazoa; Chordata; Aves; Passeriformes; Passeridae.